Halichondria panicea is the source of this 8324-nucleotide RNA transcript. It is a transcript of the gene named T-box transcription factor TBX5-like, with no coding region annotated. The record is from RefSeq and is a predicted model, not a curated record. The transcript has 26 exons. NCBI's taxonomy places the organism in Eukaryota, Metazoa, Porifera, Demospongiae, Suberitida, Halichondriidae.
UGUGCUUUUUUUAGAAUACAAUAUUCAAAUAAUCUAGCUAGCUCGCUAGCUAGCUCGCUAGCUAGCUCGCUAGCAUACAGGCUAGGCAGUAAGAGAGUAGCGAGCUAGCAUGCAGGCAGUAAGAGAGUAUCACAGAUAGAAGAGGAAGAGGGAUUGGAAUCAAGGCACAUAGCUGCAGAACGGAAGAACCCAUACAGCAGCUUUAUCCAUCAGGGGAAAAGUGUGUGCUCUAAGUUUUUCCGAUUUCUCUUUGCUGCAGGAGGAGUCCAGUAUCUGGAGCUGUCGUUUGGAGCCUUGAUCAGCCCCUCAAAGAGGAGUCCAGUAUCUGGAGCUGUCGUUUGGAGCCUUGAUCAGCCCCUCAAAUGUGAUUCUCAAUGACAAGACUGGCUGCUUGACAAAUGAACGACUAACAUAGAGGGAGCUGGCCGAUCAUCUCAGUAAGAUUGGAGAGAGCAAAGGAACUCAUCUACGAGAUUGGUUCGUACGUGUACGUCAUCCAAACUGUUUUCAACAUAUGUACCUCCCACGUCUAUUUCUAAUGUACGCUCACUACCCCCAACAGAGAGUGGUGGAGGGUUGUCCUGGGGAAGGGACUAGACACACCCUCUCAUUAGUCGGCUCAGACUAUCAACGCCUCAACCGGUCGUCCUCAAGCUCGCUGACAGUGUCCAUGAGUCCAAGCAGCUCCAUUUCUAUUCACAAGUUAUGAAAAAUAAGUCUGCGACAGGUCAAAGGCACUCUCCUCCUGUGAAGUAUCCAGGAAGAACUGUCAUUUAGAGCGUCUGGACGACCAACGAGGGAGCUGGCCGAUUAUCUCAGUAAGAUCGGAUCGUAGCGAAGGAACUCAUGACCAGCUACAAAAUGGGUCAGCUGGUGAUGAGGAUGACUAUAAAAACUGGCCCCAUAGCAUCGACCUGGCCUUCCGUUCUAUAGCUAAGUGGGGAGCAAGCCCAGCAUACAUCCAGUUUGAAGGCCACUGGGGACCCUAUCACCAGCCAUUUCCGUUGAGUGAUUGGGAGCAGAGCAACGAUAUCGAAACAGAAAUAGAAAGUGAAUGACCUCGCGGUUUGUGAGAUGCUGUAUUUUGCCAAGGACCAGAACGACUAACACAGUUCACCAAGGUCAUCCUGCUCAAGAGGGAGGCGGACAUAAAGGCACGCUCUCACUUCACCAUUGUGAAGGUACGUAACCUCAAGUGGUUAGGGUUCAAAGUUCCCUUUGCCAUCGUGAACCAGGCCAACCAGUUGUACCCUCAUGCCGUCUCCCUCAUGGAGAGCAUUCGAACCUAUGAGCUCACAUGUCAGAAGAUUGACGCCCAUCAGGGUAUCUCCAAGCGUGUGAUGUACAGGAGCAGAUAGCUGGCAUGGGACUCGUACAAACUCGAGAACUUUGUUCAAGAAUGCAUAUUCAACUUCCAAGAGAGCCUUCACUGAUCGUAUUGAUGAUUUAGUGUGCUCACUAGAAUACAAAAGUGGACUAGAGAAAGUACAGAAGCUAGUGGUGGAUGAUCUCAACCUCCGCUCUUACUUGGCCUGGGUGGGCCAUCUAGACGGGAAGCUCAAGCACACCUGUCCAGUAAAUGUUUCUCCAUAGCAACGCCUUCUCAUGGAUCUGACCAAUCAGGUUGCGUAACACCAGGUGGAGGUAGCAGGAGUGUGGCUGCCCAGUUGCCCAGAUUGAGAGCGACAAAUGUCGAGAAAGAAGACUUACCAAUAAGAGAGAGUGAUGUACAGUUUGGAUUCAUUGAGAAUGACGCUAUUUUGAUGUGAGGAACCGAACUGGCAGUAUUCAAACAGUUACAGUCAAGAGAUGACCAUCAAGAGGCCUCUCUUCCAAUCAAACGCUACCAAGGUCACACACAGGAGGUGUGCAGACUCAGAUGCAGACUGCAGACAGUGUGCAGACUGCAGACGGUCAGCUCUUAGCCUCAGGUGGAGAUGAUAACAAGUGAGCUGGAUCUGAAUGUGCGUGCCCUAAGUCUGGUUAUGUCAGGGCUGGUGCUCCAGUCCAAGAUCAAUGUUGUUCACGUCUUUAAAGAGAAGAAGCUUUUACUUAAAGGUGACCUUCGACCUGACAAUGCUGCCAGCACACUCACAAUCUUUGAGGGCAAGUUCACACAAAAUUUAUUCGACAACGAAGCUCUGCCAAAUUUAAAACUUGGUACAAACACAGUGCUAUCCCAUUGGGGUAAGUAGACUCAGAAUAGCAUGUAUAUAGCUGGCUGUAAUCACACCCUGCAAGAAAGAGGAUAUACAGCUUGCCUAAGUUUCUUUGUUGACUCCCAACCUAUAAUGUGUGUAGAAAUCUAUAAUGAUUAGUGCAGCAAGGUGACCACUAAUGAAGUAAAGCGUACUUGUCAAGGGAUACAUGUCCCACCUCCUGUAAUUUAAUAAUCCCCUCAGUUUACUCUACAUGGUAGUAUGUACAAUUAUAGUAUUAUCCUAGGACCCAGCAUUAAUUGCCACACCCAUAAGUAUUAAACACUGUAUACAAGUCUUUUCUACUUUAAUGUAAAAGAUUAUUUCCCCUACUAACACUCUAUCAAAAGCGUUAGGUAUCUUUUGGGGAGACAACUCCAGAUCCCCUUGCAGGCGCACACGUAUUAGCUCACCCUCUAAGCUCUUUCUAUUGCAUAUAAGGGUAGAAUUAAAGCUUGAUUCUAAAUUGACUAAAAAACAGCAAGCAUGCAAUGAUAAAGGUAAAUAUAGUGGGGCUGCAGUCACCAAUUUACAUGGUAGAACCUCGCUCAUGGCAUCGAGCAAAUUCCCGAUUAGCAUGUUAUAAAUUUUGUAGAUCUUGUACCACAGUGUGUGUGUGUCUGUUCCAGCUGUAACUGCUCAACGGUUGCAAUGCGACAAAAACUAACAGCUUCUAUAGGCUUCUAGCCACGUUCUCUUGAAUUUUGAUUCGUGGAUUAGCAAAUUUUUUCUUGAGUUAUGGCUAGUUUGACUCACAUUAAAGGCUGUUGCAGUGUCUUCAGAAUCUUUCGUAGUAUUAUGAGUUAGCCUUGCACUAAAGCGCAGUCAGAAAAGAGCUGCUAAAGUGGUUUAGACACUAGUUGAUAAGAUCUACACGGGAAGUACAUGGGAAGUACAUGGGAAGUACAUGGGAAAAGUGCCUCAGAGCAGGUAUACUAUUAGCCUCCUUCACCGGCCUUCGAAGAGAAAAGAAGGCCUGCUAUCGACUGCUUACGCAUGCGCAAAAUUAUUGGUUAUUUUUUCCCGUAAAAUGUCCUAUAAUACUGAAUUUAUCAGAGGAAAUAUCCAAAAAGUCAUACACAGAGCUAUAUAGCUAGCUAGCUAGAGACAGAGCUGUAGGUUUGUUGUACAGCUAUUUUUCUUGCUGAUAGAGUCAGUAGCAGUAGCAUAGUAGACUUUCGCUAAAGUUAGUGUUAGAUGGGCGUGGAUGGGCGUGGCCUGUCCACAUACGCUCUUGUCAGCUUUCACUCCGUUCAGACGAUUGUCAUUCACACUGUUGCAGGCUGUGAGUCUUUUGUUAACAUAGCAGCCUAAGGGUAGCUAUCAGAGAAUACAAUCCGAUGGGCUAGAAACCUUCAAUCGAACUUUCUAACUACUUCCUUUGAUCCACUUCCGUUCGUUGUGAUGUCAUUGUUUUACUGAGCAUAAACGAUGUUAUCCAAAGCCCCCCAGAUACCGGGGGGAUAUUAGCGCAUGCGCAAGCAGUCGAUACCAGGCCCACAUCUCCAAUGAGAGCGGCCUGGAUUCGAGGCCAGUAUACUAUGGGACUUAGUAUACCUGCAACUUACUUAGUAUACCUAGUAUUCUGUUGUCAAGUAAUUGUACUGUAGUUAGGCCUCGAGGGCAAGGUUUGCGCAUGCGCACUAGUAUCUAAAUGAGUUAGACACUGUUUUGUCGGUGUCAAUGUGAUUUAGAAGCACUCAGCCACUUUAGUACCCUCGCUACGCUCGGGAUACUAAAUCAGUGCCUUUGGGCUUCUACCCAUAGACCCCUCCAAAACAGUGUCUAACUAUUAUUUAGUAACCAGUAAACUUGACUUCUUGCAGCCUUAUUACUAUGGAUCUGCCUUAUCCCCACAUGUGGGACAAUCAAGAUCUUGCUUAGUGGUUACAGUCUUACCCCAAACUCAAUUAGCUAUUCAAACAGGAGGAGUGCUUUAUAAGCUGGGAAUGUUGCACAGCAUAACAAAACUAUUAGCUGAACAUCAAGAUGCUCUCAAGCUUGCUACUUCGGUCCAGCUUGGACAAGAAAGAAAAAGUCAAUAAAGAUCCAAUCAUUGCUAAGAAAAUCGACUUGAGUAUCAGAACUAUUGCUCAGGUUGGCUGUGGAAAGGCCAGCUGCUCCUACUCAAUUGACAAAGAUGAACAAUGUCUAGUGUUUUAUGUGUCUUCACUCUUAGCUCACAGAGACAGCACCAGGCAGCAUCUCAGCGUUACUAAAUGUCAAGUGUUGUCGAAAGAAUCGACGGGAAAGCAGAACUGUCAAACACUCACCGUCUCGAAGCUGACCACCAUUGAUGGGACCAAGUCGCUACCAACCUUGGCACUCACAAAGGAACUUCAUGCAUCCACACUCGCAUUGCACGCUGGAGCUAUUUCUGCGGAGGAUCUACUCCUGCAUUUGGGCUCAGUCAAGGCUGGAACAAUGCUGGAAAUACAAUUAGACUUCGUUCUUAAAUUCACCCUCCCAAGUUCUCCAGACUCACUACAGUAUGUCUUCACCAAUAAACUACCCGCCCAUCACCUCUGCUACAACGUUAGUUUAGCUACCACGCUACCCAUUGAAGACGUGACACCUUUACACACCAUCUCCAAUCCGAACGAUUUUCGAUGGAACUAUAUCGCUGGUUCCUCCUGUGUGGUUGAGAUCCAGUACGAAUGCAAGCCACACUCCGACAAGGCUACGGGACUCACAGUGCAGCUGGUUGCAGCACCCUCGCCAUCAGGUUGCUGUUCUAUUUCCUACCCCCAAGACGCUACCAAGACCAGGGGGGGUUGUAAUUUUAACUUGAGAUGCGAUGGUUUAAUGAUGAUGAACAGUUGUCUAACUCCCGAUGCAUUCCCAGCCUCGGUGAAAGACAAGCAACUUCAUCCAUCUGAGUUCAUAUUUGUGGUGGACUGUAGUGGCAGUAUGAGCGGCAGCAACAUCCAAUCAGCGUCUGAUACUCUCAUCACAUGUAUCAAGAGUCUGCCAGCAGGGUCCUACUUCAACGUGAUCGCAUUCGGAUCCAAUUUCAGACACCUAUUUCACACAAGUUCAGAGUACACGAAGUGGUCGGUGGAGAAGGCCAUUAAAUUUGCAAACGAGAUUCAAGCCACCCUUGGAGGGACUGAGCUGCUGGACCCACUGCGAUGGAUCUUCAAACAGGGGAAGUGCGGGAGCCUGGCCAGACAGAUCUUCAUAGUGACCGACGGAGGAGUGAACAGCACUGCACAUGUUCUGCACACUGUCCGAAAGAACAGACAUCAAGCUAGGUGCCACACAUUUGGUAUAGGGCCUGAAGUUUGUACAGAGCUGGUGACAGGCAUUGCAGCUGCCUCUGGUGGUCAGUGUGUACUGCUCAGAGACACGGAGAGAUUACAGACAAAGGUAAUGGAAGUUCUGAGAGACAGCCUGGAGCCGUAUGUAUUGGACUCAUCGCUGCAAUGGUCACCUCCUGAAGGGUUUUCCCUUCUUGAAACCACACCCACAUUGCUGGGAACCGUCUACAGUGGCUCUACACACACGGCAUUUGCGCUGAUCAAACAAGAGGGGCCUCUCCGUUCAGCUGGCGUGUUGGAAAGCACCGUGAGCAUUGUGGGACGAUCUGGAGAAGAGAGAGUCACCAUGGAAGUUAAACCAGCCCCCCUCCCAAACCUCACGCCCACACAAAGCUACGAGUUAGCCUCGAUCCUAGAUCGAGUGGCUACCUGGUCAAAGCUACAGGAGAUGGAGAUAAAAUUAGCUUCUAGUUCGAGAAAAAACAGCCAAAACGACAGCGAUAAAACACAAGAACCAGAACCAAAGAGGAUUAAACUGAAUGGAAGCUUCCUUAACGGGAAAAUGGUUGACUCUGAACUUUGUAAUGAUUUGCUUGAAUUAAGCUGCUCGUCUGGUAUUCCAUGUGGUCUAACGUGCUUCAGGGGGUGUGGUCUAGUACAGCAACUCCUCCCACACAAGCCGCCUACAACCACCUCGCACUCUGCACACACCUUCACUGCUAAGAAGACCUCCUCUUAUAGUCAGAAACGUUUGGACCAGUUGCAAAAGAUGCAGAGCAGAAACCGCAAGAGACAAGUUGGGCCACUCACCACCUCAUCUCAACCAACCACAAUGUGCAGUGUGGCCAUUAAUACCUUCACCACUCUUGGCACCACUCUCAAGACCAUGGCUAGCUCUAUCGGCCUGGUUCUCCCUGAUCCCAUCGAAGGCCACCGGAUAGACGACCACCUACACUACCACAGCCAGAAGAAAACCACACUGCAUUGGGACGAUGCUAAGGGAAAGCUUGUUUACCCCUCCUUUUAUCGUACGAGCAAAGAGCCUGUUACUAAUGGAACUAAAAUCCCCUCUAAUGGACACCGGACCACCCCCUCUUCCGAGAGCUUAAGCGAUGAUGAAGACUUUAUUUCCGACACAGACCCGGAUUGGGAUGACCUCCAAAGACCCUCGGAGCUCCUCCAACUCAUUCAAAUGCAGUUGUACAGUGGGGCGUGGCCUAUGGUGAGAGCAUUCUCGUAUGCUGUCGGAGUACCUCUAGACGAAGUCCGAAAACUAAUGGAGAAAGAAACGAAAUCAGCCGUGAUAGGAUCAGAAGAAGAGCGUAAGAAAUCAAAUGUAUGGACUACAGCUUUGGCCGUUUCAUGUCUGGAAGAAUAUUUCCCUCAAUUCAGAGCUGAAUGGGAAGUGGUUGGGAUGAAAGGACAGCAGUGGAUCGAGGCUAAUCUGUGCGAAGAAACAGAUAUGAGUGCUCAGGAGGUCUAUGAAACAUCCCGACACUUACUGGCCAGAUGGCACUAACUAAACUACACUGACAAUUCAUAUUACAAGCUGCUUUUCCCCUGCAUUUAUUCAUAAAUUGUGUUGUAUUCAUUAAUUUACAUGCUAUUUAUUCGAAGACAUACUAUAUACAGCUGGAUGUAAGGCCACUGCAACUUUGACUGUAAUGAGCAUGAGGGAAUACGGGAAACUAGAGUCAACGUUGCAGUGGCCUUACAUCCAGCUUCGUACAUGUAUUUAUAUGCACGCUCAGUGAUAUCGUACAUCCUCACAGGUAGUGGAGUUGGAGAACACUGUGCCUCAUAAAUUGUCGUCAUCGUUACCCACGGCAACCAGGAGACUAACGAGACCAGCACACAAGGAAAGAAUCAAGUAACUACAAAAUCCGUGGAGGGGUCAUGUCGACCACCCCCUGACUAUAGAGACCAGCUGAGCAUUGAGGCCCGUUUACUUAAUCUUCUUACACCACAACGUUCCAAUUAGCAGCCGCAGAAUCUGUACCACGUUGCCAUUUGCCAUUUGUUCUCCAGGUGGUGUACAGUUUGGAUUCAUGAGAACGACGCUAAAUAUGGUCUGCACAGAACUGGCAGUAUACAGUCAAGAUAUCAAGAUGACCAGUUGCAUGAGAAUUAGAGCCUGAGGAGCUUAGGAUAAUAUCAAAGAACAUGCAGGAACAAAAAGUGAACGACCUCGUGGUAAGUGCUUCAGAUAUAGCUAGUGUACAUUUUAGAGAGUUCCCGUAGUUACUCUCCUACACAUGCAUGUACACCUUCCCUCUAUCACAUUGUGCCUUUAAGUGCCUAAUAUACCAUGGAGCAUGUGUGCAUACUUACCUGUAUCUAUAUAGGAGAGUCAUACAAUAUUAAAGCCCGGCCCCGCAGUCCAGUUUAUUCUCAUAUACGGGGUCCGUGUACUGGGUCACUGUGUCCUGAAUACAUUGAGAUGCAACCUAGUGCUUAAAACAUAGCUACCGGUUGCAUCUCAACUUUAAACGUACAGUGUGAGUCAGCUCCGGGUAUCUAAUAUUUGAACUAGUAUACAGGUCGUCCUCAAGCUCGCUGACAGUGUCCAUGAGUCCAAGCAGCUCCAUUUCUAUUCACAAGUUAUGAUCAGACAAACACACAAGAGGACUCUCAAGCUGACUCUCAAGCUGAAGAGCUGUUCCGCAGACUGGAGAAGCACCCUGUCCUGCUCAAAGAGACAUCUCAUUCUCAAGCACACCUGUCCAGCAACAUUUUCUCCAUACAACGCCUUCUCAUGGAUCUGACCAAUCAGGUUGCGUAACACCAGGUGGAGGUAGCAAGAGUAUGGCCGCCCAGAUUGAGAAUGACGGCGUGGCAGGAUAUCAAUACUGGAGACUGCUGCCAG